Molecule: unclassified non-coding RNA, 256 nt
Filed under: air metagenome
Description: partial contains small subunit ribosomal RNA, internal transcribed spacer 1, and 5.8S ribosomal RNA
Rfam family: Eukaryotic small subunit ribosomal RNA (bases 1-46)
Source: RNAcentral
AAGUCGUAACAAGGUUUCCGUAGGUGAACCUGCGGAAGGAUCAUUAUUGUAUUGCAUGGCACACAAAGGCUGUCGCUGGCGCAAGCCGUGCACGCCCGAGUGUCACCAAAUCCAUCUCACCCCUGUGCACCAUUGCGUGAGCCACACUUAUGUGUGGCUUGCGUUUUUAUACACAAACCCCAUAACUAUGUCUUAGAAUGUCUCUUGCAGUAACAUGCAAUUAAUACAACUUUCAACAACGGAUCUCUUGGCUCUC